This 253-nucleotide ribosomal RNA is filed under the name uncultured bacterium. RNAcentral's name for it is "partial 16S ribosomal RNA". It matches the Rfam family "Bacterial small subunit ribosomal RNA", at positions 524 to 776 of the family's 1533-position model. The record is from RNAcentral.
UACGUAGGGCGCAAGCGUUGUCCGGAAUUAUUGGGCGUAAAGAGCUCGUAGGCGGUUUGUCGCGUCUGCUGUGAAAACCUAAGGCUCAACCUUGGGCUUGCAGUGGGUACGGGCAGACUAGAGUGCGGUAGGGGUGACUGGAAUUCCUGGUGUAGCGGUGGAAUGCGCAGAUAUCAGGAGGAACACCGAUGGCGAAGGCAGCUUGCUGGGACGGUACUGACGCUGAGACGCGAAAGCGUGGGGAGCAAACAGG